Long non-coding RNA from Cyprinus carpio carpio, 3308 nucleotides. NCBI's taxonomy places the organism in Eukaryota, Metazoa, Chordata, Actinopteri, Cypriniformes, Cyprinidae. The record is from Ensembl.
AAUUAUGACUUUUUUUCUCUUGAAUAGCCACACUUUCUCGCAAAGCACUAUAGGAAACCACGAGAUUGAACAGUAGAACAGAGACAGAACGCGGCAGUUUCCUUACCUUUUUAUCGUAAACAGAGCUUUAUAUGCCAUUAACCGACGACAAGGUAUGGUCAUAUUUACUCUUUGGUAUGAUAAUCUUUUACGAUUUACGUAUGUUAUUAUAGAAGACUCUGGGCAAGUAUAAAAUCUGAAUGUUUGGUAACUAGCGCGUACUAUGGUAUACUAGCUCAUGUAACGUUAGUUUAAUGUUGGAUGUUAAUUGUUGGUUUUAUGGAAAAUUAAGUAGUUUUCUAUCAUUGCAUAAAAACUGAGUGAAAUAAGGUUUGCAUACAGGGCUUGCUUUGAUACGCAAGGCACAUAUUAACCAUAAGCCAGAAAACCAUUUCGGUUUUCUGGCUUACAUACUCGGUCUAUGGUUUAAUAUUGGCCUACCAGCCUCACUCUGCUUAUGUUAUUAAUUUCCAUUAAACUAUCAUUGCAGGAUGGACGAAUUAAUCUUUUUUCUGAGGGAAAGGAAUAUUCCAGAAACCACCAUAAAAAGGCUGGAGGACGACAAGAUUGAUGUCAGUGUCCUACUGCUAAUGACUGAUGACCAGAUGAGAAGCUAUUUUCCUUCAUAUGGAGACAGACUCGCAGUGAUGGGGUUUUGCAGGAGGCAAGAAAGUGAGCCAACUUGCAGGAAGUCAAAGCUGUUUGAGCGCCUCAAAUCAAAAUUGAGCAAAAGACAAAAAACUGACAGUUCACAAACUGAAACCCAAACAACUAGAAAAAACAAUUCUCAGCGUACUGUAAGAAAAGUUGAGAUUGGGUGGAUGCACUAUGAUGGGCAGGGCUUUGUUCAAAUGAGAGCAAAAAAAGGAGGGGGAACAAGGAAGUUGAGUGUGCCAAAAGACUGGAAAAGGGACGAACUGAUGGAGGAGGCAAUUCGUUUGUUUUUCCCAAAUGGAAAAAAUUCUCAUGGGAGUAUUUCUGAGUUUGAAUUGGAUCUAACAAAUUAUCAGGAAGUGUCACUAGAUAAAGAAAGUACAGUGGGGGAAAUGUAUAAUGCAUCCAAGCUCACAAUGAUGAGGUUCUACCUGACAACAAAAAAGGUGGAGAGGGAAGAGGAAACAGAAAGUGAAGUGGAAAUAUCAGACACAAUGGACGACUUACACAGUAAUAACCAGGAUCAAAGUCUUCCCACUUUUAGCAGAAUGAAUGACUUCUUUCAAGCUUCAGACACGGAUGUAAUUUUUGUGGAAAGUCCAGGCAAUGAUGCUGUAUCUCUCUUGCAUUCCACCGAGGAUCUGAAUGUUGCAGAUGAUGAUCUGAAUGUUCCUUUUCAAAGUUCUUCAAUGACCUUACCAGAUUACUCAGAUACAAGCGAUGUAGUGACAGUAUUCACUGGUGACAUCACUGGGAUAGAUGGACAAAACUUAGAUGACACUUUGCCUCUGAGCCCAGAACCCAUUGUUCCACACAAAAAAAUUCUUGUUGUUCAUCGCGGACAGAUAUUUUCUGAACUUAUUGCACAUUUCUGUGAUGAAACCCUUCCACAUACACAGAGUGAAGUAGAAGUGAAGUUGCUCCUCCCAAAUGGACAGUUUGAGAUGGGCCAUGAUGUUGGUGGAGUGUUCAGGGAUUGCCUAUCAGAGUUUUGGCAGGAAUUCUAUGAUCAAUGCACGCUGGGGAACAAUUUUAAAGUUCCCUUUCUUCGACAUGAUUUUGGCAAAGAAAAGUGGGAAAGUGUAGCCCGGAUAAUUCUGUUCGGCUGGAAUAAAGAGAAAUAUCUCCCAAUAAAACUUGCACCUGCAAUCUUGCAGCAAGCAAUAAAAGGAUCUGUAAAAAGUGAUCUGAUUGAGAACUUUUUGAAAUAUGUCUCAGAAAAUGAGUGUGCUGUGUUAGAAAGCUGCAGAACAGACUUCUGUAAUGCAGACCAAGAGGAAUUGCUUGAGAUCUUAGACAACUACAGUUGUCGGAGAAUUCCAACAGAAGAAAACUUCAAGCAAAUUUUGCAAGAACUGGCACAUAAAACUCUCAUUCAAGAGCCUGCUUAUGUUCUUGAACAGUGGGCAGGCAUACUUGGACCUCUGAGCAAGGACCUUGAGGAAAUUGAAGAUGUGUAUUGUGCAUUACAACCAACGGUGAGGAAAAUUGUGCGAUCUCUCAAAUUUCCUGAAACAAUGAAUAUACACCAAAAGGACAUUUCAAAGCACUUGACAACUUACUUGAGGGAGUGUGAUGCAAAACGACAGUCUCUGUUUCUUAGAUUCUGUACAGGAUCAGAUUUGUUUAUAGGCAAAACUAUAACAGUUGAUUUCACAGACCUUAAAGGGUUUGAGAGAAGACCGGUGGCACACACCUGUGGCUGUUUCCUGAGGCUUUCAGUGCACUAUGACAACUACCCAGAUUUCAGGUCUGAAAUGAACAAAAUUCUUGAAAGCAAUGUCUGGGUCAUGGACAUAGUUUAGUGGUACCACAAUGAAAUAUUGGCAGAUAUGAGUUAUGGCCGGCUCAUAUGCUAGCUAUUUGUCUUGGGUCAUUCUUCAUACACUUACAAUUAUUUUACACAUGUAUAGAAAGUAGAACAUUCACUUUAAUUUGUCCACUUAGUUAUUUCUGGUUAUGUUGAAUAUUAAACAACCUUUUUUGUUUUUGAAGAUUUACAUUUCAAUAGUGAACCAUCUCCAUUGUUUAGGUGCAACCGAGUGUUUACAUUAAAUUGUACAAGUUGUUCAUGUCAACUGUUCAUUCAAAUAGGCGUUGAACUGUUAAAAUGUUUUAAUGGUUCAUUCUUCAUACAUUUACAUACUGUACAAUUAUUUUACACAUAUACAUAAAGUAAAACAGUCACUUUAAUUUGUUGACUUAGUUAUUGCUGUUUAUGUUGAAUGUUGAACAACCUUAUUUAUGACUUUCAAUAGUGAAAGUGCUCUUCAUUGUUUAGGUACAAACUACUGUUUACAUUAAAUUGUACAAAUUCUACAUGUUACCGCUUCAGUGAGAUGAUGGCUUUGAAUCAUUAUAAUGUGUUCUUAACUUUGUGCUUGUAUACAGUUGGGUGUUGCAUUAUUGUGAACCCCUUUCACACAUGCCAUAGGUAAAACAUUUGAACAGUUUUAUAAGAUUGUUUUAUUGAAAUCAUAUUAAUAUGGUUUGUUUUAUUCUUACUUGUUCCACAUUGUAAUGUUUGGUUAACCACUCAUGUAUUAAACACAACACAACCUGCAUAUAUGGUGCCAAGGUUUUUUUUUUUUUUUUUGCAUUGAAGAUGGAGUGAG